Molecule: non-coding RNA, 58 nt
Organism: Myotis lucifugus (little brown bat)
Lineage: Eukaryota; Metazoa; Chordata; Mammalia; Chiroptera; Vespertilionidae
Source: Rfam
UGGCUCAGUGGAUAGAGCAUCAGCCUGUGGACUGAAGGGUCCCAGGUUCGAUUCCUGG